UGUUCGCCCAUUAAAGCGGUACGCGAGCUGGGUUUAGAACGUCGUGAGACAGUUCGGUCCCUAUCCGCUGUGCGCGUUGGAGUCUUGAGAAGGGCUGUCCCUAGUACGAGAGGACCGGGACGGACGAACCUCUGGUGUGCCAGUUGUCCUGCCAAGGGCAUGGCUGGUUGGCUACGUUCGGGAGGGAUAACCGCUGAAAGCAUCUAAGCGGGAAGCCUGCUUCGAGAUGAGGACUCCCACCCCCUUUGAGGGGUUAAGGCUCCCAGUAGACGACUGGGUUGAUAGGCCAGAUGUGGAAGCCCUGUGAGGGGUGGAGCUGACUGGUACUAAUAGGCCGAGGGCUUGUCCAU
Molecule: ribosomal RNA, 350 nt
Filed under: Actinacidiphila alni
Lineage: Bacteria; Bacillati; Actinomycetota; Actinomycetes; Kitasatosporales; Streptomycetaceae
Description: Streptomyces alni Bacterial large subunit ribosomal RNA
Rfam family: Bacterial large subunit ribosomal RNA
Source: Rfam by way of RNAcentral